Cucumis sativus (cucumber) is the source of this 2021-nucleotide long non-coding RNA. RefSeq lists it as uncharacterized. The record is from RefSeq and is a predicted model, not a curated record. The transcript has 4 exons. NCBI's taxonomy places the organism in Eukaryota, Viridiplantae, Streptophyta, Magnoliopsida, Cucurbitales, Cucurbitaceae.
GUUCAGCCUUUGAAACAUACUUACCUGGACGGGGUCAAUGGGCGAUCAUGGAGACUCAUGGCCUAGGUUGGUGACCUCCAUUGCACUUUAGGAGGGGUGCCCGCCUAAGGUCUGCCCAAAGUGGCAGAGCCUACGUCAUAAUUUGUGGCAGUGGGGGCCUGCGUUCGCGCGGCCCCUUCCCAAAACUAGUUGAACAAAUUGGCGGCUGAUUAUUAAUUAGUACUUUUAAUAAGUCGGUUUCCACGAUUUUGUUACACGUUAGUCAUUUCCAGAGCGCGGGCAUUUCGUAUGUUUGAUUGACCUUACUUUAGUCUUCGUCUUCAUGUUACUACCGUUAAUGGGUGAUUUCGUAUUACGUUCUUUUCUGUGGCCUUUCCAGACUCUCGUGGAGGUUUAAGAAUUCUAAUUCUAAUCUGUCAUUUACUUUGCUAUUUGGUCCAUUUUUUUUCUUUUUACUUUUGGACUGCGAAUUCCUAUAGAUUGAACCUUUGACAGUUCGAUAUUACAUUCGAUUGCGAGUCGUUCUUGUUGAGAAAUUUCCAUUCCGCACUUGUUUUUCUGUUGGUGUUCGUAUUUGCUACUGGAGAACAAGUGCACUAAUAUUUUUUGGCGUUUUUGUUUAGUGGCGGUACUUCUGUUUGGUUUAAUACGUUCUACCAAUUUGAUGACAGAAAGUUUGGAUGCUUUCUGAAAACGAGCUUUUGUUAUCGUUAGGUUUGGAUGCGGUAAUUUUUAUGCGAAUUAUGAUUUUCAGGUUACUAAGUUCAUUCAGGCAAUUGUUUAUCUUUUCCAUUUUCUAUCGUGGGGGAGUUGCAUAUGCUAAGAUUUGAUUCUCUUUGAACUGAACAGAACUAAAAAAGGUUCGCAGUUGGGCUAAAAAGCUCCGAAGAAGUUACUAUGAAUGCAGGAGCUAAUUUACUUCCUGCCUACGCUAAAAACUGAAAGCAAAGCAAGAAGUGCAUUUUCCUUUAGAAGUUAUAUUUGGGUGAAGUUCCUUAUUUGUGUGAUUAGGUGACUUCCAUCUUUUGUUUGUUUUAUUUGUACUACAUUCUUACCGGUUUUUGGUGGAAAAUAACAUGUGGGGAAGUGAGAUCAAUGGUAAAGCAUUGGUUUGCUUUUGUCUUGUUGUUUUAUAUCCUUUAACGGUCACUUUUGGUUCUCUAUCUUCAGGAUUUCAACUGAAAACAUUACUUGAUUAAUACUAGAAGUAUAUCUGUUGUCUAGCCAGGCAACCAUUUCUGUAUAUAGCAAUGGACAUUGUCCAUUUAUUAAAAUUGUGUUUUCUUGUCGAGUAUGCAAGUUCGUUUUCAUGGCUGCCAUUUCAUGUUCUCACAAUGUGUUUUGAUAUUUUCUUUUCUUGUUCGUGCUGACUUAAUCGGAACUCAUUGCGUUGCUCACAUUCUUCAGGGUUUAAUCUUGGAAAGAGCAGCUUCCUUCGAUGAUAAAAUUUUAAAUCUGCUGGAGUACGACUAUAUUUCUUCAAGAAUGAUCGGCUAUUUUGUUCAUCCAAGCCUCUGUUUCAUCAGCUUACCAUCUUAGUUCGCGCAGUUCCUGCUUUUGGGGGGAGAAGUAUCGGUGACAGUGUUGAGAAUUUCUUCACAUUAACCCUUCAACCUAAGUAAACCUCGAGGUCUCAUGAAUGAUGCAAAAACACAUUACAGAAGAUGCUUUUUCUUGAGCAAUUUCUGAAUCCAUGGAAGCAAAACAAAGUUGACAGAAAGUAAAAUAGACGAGCCAGCUCAAGUCAUUCAUAAGGGCCACAGUGAUAUGACUGUUCACAUGUCAUUAUUUUUAUUCCUUUUCAUAGGUCUAAAACAUCAUUAUUGCUAAAUUCACCACUAAUGAGUUCUACUUUUGUCCUCUUUUGGCCCCCACAGUAAAUGGCGUUGAGUUUUAUUUAUUUAUUAUCUGAAUUUUUUAUUGCCAAGAUAGUUACCUGCGCUUCCUUUGAUUAGAUUAUAAUUGUAUGGCCCUCUCUACUGGUUAUUACUACAAUCUAUUCGUAGAACUGAUGUAUCUUA